RNAcentral lists this transfer RNA (76 nucleotides) under Dehalococcoidia bacterium. RNAcentral describes it as "tRNA-Pro". It matches the Rfam family "tRNA". From Rfam's summary of the family: Transfer RNA (tRNA) molecules are approximately 80 nucleotides in length. Their secondary structure includes four short double-helical elements and three loops (D, anti-codon, and T loops). Further hydrogen bonds mediate the characteristic L-shaped molecular structure. tRNAs have two regions of fundamental functional importance: the anti-codon, which is responsible for specific mRNA codon recognition, and the 3' end, to which the tRNAs corresponding amino acid is attached (by aminoacyl-tRNA synthetases). tRNAs cope with the degeneracy of the genetic code in two manners: having more than one tRNA (with a specific anti-codon) for a particular amino acid; and 'wobble' base-pairing, i.e. permitting non-standard base-pairing at the 3rd anti-codon position. The record is from RNAcentral. Lineage: Bacteria; Bacillati; Chloroflexota; Dehalococcoidia.
CGGGGUGUAGCGCAGCGGCUAGCGCGCCACGUUCGGGACGUGGAGGCCGGUGGUUCGAAUCCACUCACCCCGACCA